AGCGAAUAGAUACCCCGGUAGUCCAUGCCGUAAGCUAUGGAUACUAGCUGUUGGGGGUAUCGACCCCUCCAGUAGCGAAAGCUAACGCGUUAAGUAUCCCGCCUGUGGAGUGCGAUCGCAAGAUUAAAACAUAAAGGAAUUGACGGGGACCCGCACAAGCGGUGGAGCGUGUUCUUUAAUUCGAUGCUAAACGAAGAACCUUACCAGGGCUUGACAUCCCUUGAAUUACUCCGAAAGGAGUGAGUGCUUUAUUGAGCAAGGUGACAGGUGAUGCAUGGCCGUCGUCAGCUCGUGUCGUGAGAUGUUUGGUUAAAGUCCAUCAACGAGCGCAACCCUUAUACUUAGUUGUAUUUUUCUAGGUAGACUGCCCCGGU
This 374-nucleotide ribosomal RNA is filed under the name uncultured bacterium. RNAcentral describes it as "bacterial SSU rRNA". It matches the Rfam family "Bacterial small subunit ribosomal RNA", at positions 773 to 1158 of the family's 1533-position model. The record is from RNAcentral.